Molecule: ribosomal RNA, 872 nt
Filed under: uncultured Acidobacteriota bacterium
Lineage: Bacteria; Pseudomonadati; Acidobacteriota
Description: bacterial SSU rRNA
Rfam family: Bacterial small subunit ribosomal RNA
Source: RNAcentral
AGAGAUCAUGGCUCAGAAUCAACGCUGGCGGCGUGCCUAACACAUGCAAGUCGAACGCGGUUACCCCGCAAGGGGUGACUGAGUGGCGAACGGGUGAGUAACACGUGGGUGAUCUACCUUCGAGUGGGGGAUAACGUCCCGAAAGGGACGCUAAUACCGCAUGACGUUCUGGGUUUGAAGACCUGGAAACCAAAGUCGGGGACCGCAAGGCCUGACGCUUGAAGAGGAGCCCGCGCCUGAUUAGCUAGUUGGUGAGGUAAUGGCUCACCAAGGCGACGAUCAGUAGCCGGCCUGAGAGGGCGGACGGCCACACUGGGACUGAGACACGGCCCAGACUCCUACGGGAGGCAGCAGUGGGGAAUUGUUCGCAAUGGGCGCAAGCCUGACGACGCAACGCCGCGUGGAGGAUGAAGGUCUUCGGAUUGUAAACUCCUGUUGAUCGGGAAGAAUUGCCUCCGGGUGAAUAGUCCGGAGGAAUGACGGUACCGAUUGAGGAAGCCACGGCUAACUCUGUGCCAGCAGCCGCGGUAAUACAGAGGUGGCAAGCGUUGUUCGGAAUUACUGGGCGUAAAGGGCGCGUAGGUGGCCUUGUUAGUCAGACGUGAAAUCCCCAAGCUUAACUUGGGAACUGCGUCUGAUACUGCAAGGCUUGAGUUCGGGAGAGGGAUGUGGAAUUCCAGGUGUAGCGGUGAAAUGCGUAGAUAUCUGGAGGAACACCGGUGGCGAAGCGGCAUCCUGGACCGAAACUGACACUGAGGCGCGAAAGCUAGGGAGCAAACCGGAUUAGAUACCCGGGUAGUCCUAGCCCUAAACGAUGAGUGCUUGGUGUGGCGGGUAUCGAUCCCUGCCGUGCCGAAGCUAACGCAUUAAGC